This is a non-coding RNA of Euleptes europaea (tarantolino), 78 nucleotides long. Lineage: Eukaryota; Metazoa; Chordata; Lepidosauria; Squamata; Sphaerodactylidae. The record is from the annotation of a RefSeq genome assembly.
UUGGCUGUGGCUCAGUGGUAGAGCAUCUGUUUCCUAUGUAGAAGGCCCCAGGUUCAAUCCCUGGCAUUUCCAGUUAAA